Carassius carassius (crucian carp) is the source of this 440-nucleotide long non-coding RNA. RefSeq lists it as uncharacterized. The record is from RefSeq and is a predicted model, not a curated record. The transcript has 3 exons. Lineage: Eukaryota; Metazoa; Chordata; Actinopteri; Cypriniformes; Cyprinidae.
AUUUGAAUGUGGAACAGGACAGAGGCUGGUUGGGUUGUUGGCUUAGAAAGCAGUUACAGAUGACGCGGUUAUUGCAAGAACUCCUAAAAAAUAUUAGAAGUUAUGAUAACACGAAAAAAAGAAGAAUAGUUAGAUGGAUGCAGAAAUGGGGUAUCCUGAAAAGUAGGAUGCAGUGUCCAAAAUGCAAUCGAAGCAUGCGCCUGGAAAAAUGCGAUCGCAGCGAUGGGUUACGAUGGGUCUGUAAGCAUCACAAAAGUUCACCACUCUCUGUGCGCAAUGGCUCAAUAUUCACCAAUUCUCACACCCCUUUGGUGAAAUGGCUUGAGUUUAUGUACAGGUUUGCACAAGGUUUGCAGUUGAAGCAGCUUGCCAUGAUCAAUGACGGUAUAGCAGGAAGCUCAAAGACACUGACAAGAAUGACAAAAGUACUCAGAAAGGUU